Molecule: ribosomal RNA, 252 nt
Filed under: uncultured bacterium
Lineage: Bacteria
Description: partial 16S ribosomal RNA
Rfam family: Bacterial small subunit ribosomal RNA
Source: RNAcentral
UACGUAGGGGGCGAGCGUUAUCCGGAUUCAUUGGGCGUAAAGCGCGCGUAGGCGGCGCGCCAAGCGGAACCUCUAACCUCGGGGCUCAACCUCGAGCCGGGUUCCGAACUGGCGCGCUCGAGUUCGGUAGAGGCAGGCGGAAUUCCCGGUGUAGCGGUGGAAUGCGCAGAUAUCGGGAAGAACACCGAUGGCGAAGGCAGCCUGCUGGGCCGACACUGACGCUGAGGUGCGAAAGCUAGGGGAGCGAACAGG